RNAcentral lists this transfer RNA (73 nucleotides) under Zingiber officinale. It matches the Rfam family "tRNA". From Rfam's summary of the family: Transfer RNA (tRNA) molecules are approximately 80 nucleotides in length. Their secondary structure includes four short double-helical elements and three loops (D, anti-codon, and T loops). The record is from Rfam by way of RNAcentral. Lineage: Eukaryota; Viridiplantae; Streptophyta; Magnoliopsida; Zingiberales; Zingiberaceae.
GCCCGUCUAGCUCAGUUGGUAGAGCGCAAGGCUCUUAACCUUUUGGUCGUGGGUUCAAGCCCCACGGUGGGCG